GACGAACGCUGGCGGCGUGCUUAACACAUGCAAGUCGAACGGAAAGGCGCUGCUCUUGUGGGGUGCUUGUGUGGCGAACGGGUGAGUAACACGUGUGUAACCUGCCCUUGACUUUGGGAUAACUCCAGGAAACUGGGGCUCAUACCGGAUAGGAGCUCCUGCUGCAUGGUGGUGGUUGGAAAGUUUCGGCGGUUCGGGAUGGACUCGCGGCUUCUCAGCUUGUUGGUGGAGUAGUGGCUUACCAAGGUUUCGACGGGUAGCCGGCCUGAGAGGGGGACCAGGCACAUUAGGACUGAGAUACGGAGCAGUCUCCUACGGGAGGCAACGGGGGGGAAUAUUGCACAACAAGCGGGAGCCUGAUGCAGCAACGCCCCGUGCGGGAUGACGGCCUACGGGUUGUAAACCGCUUUCGCCUGUGACGAGGCGUGAGUGACGGUAAUGGGUAAAGAAGCACCGGCUAACUACGUG
RNAcentral lists this ribosomal RNA (468 nucleotides) under uncultured bacterium. Its description in RNAcentral is "partial 16S ribosomal RNA". It matches the Rfam family "Bacterial small subunit ribosomal RNA", at positions 28 to 507 of the family's 1533-position model. The record is from RNAcentral.